Molecule: non-coding RNA, 1538 nt
Organism: Schizosaccharomyces pombe (fission yeast)
Lineage: Eukaryota; Fungi; Ascomycota; Schizosaccharomycetes; Schizosaccharomycetales; Schizosaccharomycetaceae
Source: the annotation of a GenBank genome assembly
AAAGUACUUCCAAACUGGGAAAAGUCUCUGUAAUCCAUUGAACAUCUUUACUGUUUAGGCCACAUCCAUUCACUGAAAGUUGUGUUAAAUGAGGAAUUAAAAGAACGGUAUUUGAGCUAAUAAAAUUUGAAAAUAAGUUUGAACUGAAAGAGUUAGAAUAUACGUGUAGAGAUAAACAAAAACACAUGCUCUAGAGUUAAAUUUCUUAAUGAAGGAAGCUGGGAACACAAUUUAAGGAUUGGAAAAAAUUCAUGAAACAAAUUUCUCGAUAAAUCUAAGUCGAUAACUUCUACAAAUUCCGUUAACAUUUAGUUGAAAAUAAGUGACAUACCAGGUAGUAUUUUAGAAUACUCGUACUCUAUUUCAAUAUCUUCAAUCCUAUAAUUGUCUAGAAUAAUAACGCGCAAGCUUUUUAAAUCUCUUUGCUUGCUUUGGAUUUUUUCGAAACCACAGAAUUCUACCUGUUUUCCACUUUUAAAUUCAACAGAGGAAGGUAGGGGACUUGAAUAUGAAUAUUUUUCGUAAAGUGCUUCCAAAAAUGUUCUGCAUGGAUCAAAAGGGAAUCCUUUGUCUACAAAUAUUUUUCCUUCUUUUACAAUUCUAAUAGUUUAGUUUCUUGUCGUCAAUAACAAUCUUACAAUGGUUUUUUGUUUCUCCAACACGUUUUAACAAACUGUUUUGCAUUUACGUUUUUAUCAAGUAUGACUUGGUAUCGAUCAUUGUUUCCUUCGAUGGUUAAUGUUACUAAAGUAUUAGAUAUAGAAGCCCUAACCAUUCCAGUGGAUAUAUGCAUUAUUAAUCAACGUGGGAAAGAAAAUGGAUUGCUAUAAAAAUUUGGGCAGUUUAAGUUUUUUGUUUCUUUCAAAUUUUGUCUUUUAUCUACAACAAAAAGUUUUAACCGCACUUUUUCUUUGCGACAUAGAAGUGUUCAGUACGUAGUGAUAAUAUAGAUGGCAUCAGAUUUGUUAGGAAAAUAGUUGGAAAUACUGCUUAUUAUUAUACGGGUUUUGAUUCUAAUGUCGAUCUCAUUUUUAAAUGUGCUGCUUUAUUAAGUCUCUCAAUGUUAAUGUAAAUAAUCUAUUGUUGGCUGCAUACCUCGUAAAGUACAACUUGAUACCAAUGAAUAUAUUAAUUAUCAAACAAUGCGUUUAAAUGUAUCAAGCACCAAGCACGAUGUAGAUUGGAAGCAGCACUAUCGAGAAUUAUCACUUUUUUAAAUGAACUGUACAUAAAGGAAAUGUUGCUUUUUGGGGGCGAGAACUCCAUCCUGGGAGAAUUCGCAAUUGUUGAUCUGCAACCCAUUUGAGACUUCUAAAAUUUACCUCGUGAAUGGCAAAAAAUUCGAUCUCUCGGAGAACUUUGUCAUUUGAUAACAAAGGAAAAGAAAUUAUCUUUAAAAAACGAAUUGCGAAUUCAGUUCCCAUUUUUUUGCUCAAUAUCGAAAUCAGAGUUCUGGUCCAGUCGCUGCUAUUACGGAAACAAUCAACAAUGUAAUCAAACUGAAGCCCAGAUAACCGUAUAUACUUUAAAGCAUAACU